Molecule: ribosomal RNA, 439 nt
Filed under: uncultured bacterium
Lineage: Bacteria
Description: partial 16S ribosomal RNA
Rfam family: Bacterial small subunit ribosomal RNA
Source: RNAcentral
CUACGGGUGGCUGCAGUGGGGAAUAUUGCACAAUGGAGGAAACUCUGAUGCAGCAACGCCGCGUGGAGGAUGACGCAUUUCGGUGUGUAAACUCCUUUUAUAUGUCAAGAAAAUGACGGUAGCAUAUGAAUAAGCACCGGCUAACUCCGUGCCAGCAGCCGCGGUAAUACGGAGGGUGCAAGCGUUACUCGGAAUCACUGGGCGUAAAGGACGCGUAGGCGGGUUGGAAAGUCAGGUGUGAAAUCCUACAACUUAACUGUAGAACUGCACUUGAAACUUCUAAUCUAGAGUAUGGGAGGAGGAGAUGGAAUUAGUGGUGUAGGGGUAAAAUCCGUAGAUAUCACUAGGAAUACCUAAAGCGAAGGCGAUCUCCUGGAACAUUACUGACGCUAAGGCGUGAAAGCGUGGGGAGCAAACAGGAUUAGAUACCCCGGUAGUC